CAAAAUUAGCUCUCCGCGGAGCAAAUCGAAAUUUUAACACUUAAAAUUUUCACCUUUUGUUUCCGCCUUAACUUCCCCCAAAAUUUUCAGUUCCCGCUCCCAGUCCCCCCAAUUUAUUUCAGUUCCCUCUAAAUUUCUUACCGAAAUUCAGAACAAAUUGAAACCAAAUCUAUUUUAUUUCCCCCUAAAUCUUCUCGAUUUUUUUUUUUGUAUGAAGAAGUCGAUUGCUUUUUCCAAUCUUUCACAUAUUUCCCUAUCGUCACAAGAUUUUUUUUCCUUUUCUUUAUCUUUCCUAUGUCUGUAGGAGUAGUUAGAUUGAUGGUUUUUUUUGUGUGAUUUUUGCAUCUGAUUUCGCAUUAGGGUUUAUUUUUGUUUGAUUUCCGAUUUCGUAUGAGGGUUUUUUUCUUCUGUAUGGCUUAUGGGCGUUUUGUUGAAGGUCUUAAAUCUUUUCCUUCUUAACCCUAAAUCGAGGUUUGGCUGAAGAAGAGGGAAUGUUAAUCAUCUAGCUCACUCUUACCGUUGAUCUUGUUAUUCAGGAUAAGGCAGGUUGUGUUUCAAAAAUGGUUUUUGCAGGCCAACAAAGUAAUUUGACAACAAUCUCAAACAAGUAAACUUCCAUCUCAUGGCGUCUCAACGGUAAUUGCUCAUUAUGUUCCAUACAUUUUAGGUCAGAUGUUUAUCUUAUUGAAUGACAUCGUAGUGUAAAUGCCAGUUAUACAUAUUAGACUAUUAGUCUUAAGUGGAUUCAUUAGCAAUUACCGUUAUGCAACAUCUUUUCCUUGGACUGGCUUGAGCGGCGAAUGUAUCUGAGGUUGAACCAAACUGAACUUUUGUAUGCUUGUAUUGUUAAUUCCUUUUCAUUUGUUUGAAACUUUUUUCAUCACUCAAACAAUCUUUGACCAUAAUUUCAUGACUUGAAACUUAUAUAUCACCUGCCUUACUUGUGGGUGUACAUACAUAAUCAUACACAAAAGUUUUACCUCAAGAGUUAUCUCAUAUAUUGGAUUAAAUAAUUCUUAUGUACUUAUAGUUGUAUUAAUCUUUAUUUAGUUGGUGGCGUAAUUAUAUAAAUUGGUGAGAGGUACAGAUGUCUAGAGGGGCAGAUGUUAUAAAAGAUGAUGAUACGGUCUAGCUUCUUUUAGAUAAUGUUGAGUGGUAGUGUAAUUAAAUGGGAUCAUAUAAAGGAGCAAGUGAUGACAUUUCGUUGGGAGACCUGUAGAUAGAAACCGAAGGAUGAAAAUGAACACUAACUUGAUGAUCCACCAUGAUGUUGGUUUCUGAUGGUGGAAGGAUGAAAUCCCUUAUAUAUGGGAGUAAUAAUAUACACGUAAUCUAUGUUACUGACCAAAAGUCUGUGAAGAAUUUUAUAGUUUUUUUUUUUUACUCUCAGUUAAUCGUAGGAACAUACUUGAAGUAUGGGUUUGUAGAAAAUAUGCUUACUCGCGAUAAUGUUCCAUGAAAAUAUUUUGAACUAUCACUGAUCCUAAAACUCUGUUAUGAGAAGUUGGGAACAGGGAUGUGCAUCAUCUAAUCGAAAAUUAAUCCAUCCUUGCUGGCUACAUUUUUCCUGAUGUAAUGUGGAUAUGUUUUUCGUUCAUAUCAAGAGGAUAGAUAAUAUGCUCUACCUAUCUUGUCAAUUCAUCUUUAAAUUAAAGUAUGCCUAUUGCUAGAUAUACAUAAUCUUGGCCAGGUAACAUCUAUUGUGUUGGCGCGUUGCGUACUUAGGAUCAGACAAGAUUUUAUGAGGUUGUGAGUAAGUUCUUAAUUAAAACAAAGUUACCUGUAUCCCUACUCUGAAACGUGUUUACACAUAUGGCAAAUAUUUUUCAUAUGAUAUCUGAUGACCUCUUUUUUAUUCAUUUAUAUUUAUAUUCAUUUGUUUGUAGGACAAUUCCCAUCAUUGCAGGAAGAGAACCUGGCGAAAAAUGAAUUUAGCUUACCUACCAUGGAUGAGAUAUAAGCCACUUUGUCUAGGUAUGCAUUUGGAUUAGAUUAUUUAAAUCUGUUGAAUUCAAGUAGUUCUUGUUUUUUCUUCAAGCCUUUCUUUUUGUCAGUUCUAAUAAUCGUCUUUGAUAUAUUAAUUUGGCCAAUCACUAAUAUCACGUCAGAGCUCUUGGUUCAGUAUCCUUUAAGAAAUAUAUGUAUACUUUAGGCUUAUUCUGGUUACUUCUCUUAGAGCUCAGAUUACAUAUUGUUAUGUGUUCAUGCGUUGGUUAUUGAGUCUUCCAGCUUUAAUUCAACUCAAUAAACCUGGAGUAUCCGCAUUCACGCAAGCAAUUGGCCAGGUUUUAAAGGAAUGGAAAAAUAGUUGCAGCUGGAUAUGCGGUGACCGGUUUGGAAGGUGAAUUCUGUCACCACAUAAUUGUCCAAAAGAACGAGAGUAAAGCUCGCAUAGAAUGCGUCUACGAUGAUUCUGCACCAAUCUGGGACCCUCCUCAAGGUGAUGACUAUUAUUCACCACAGAACUGUCCAAAAGAUCGAGAGUAAAGUUCGCAUAGACUGCGUCUAUGAUGAUUAUGCACCAAUCUGGGACCCUCCUCAAGAUGAUGACUAUUACUAUAAGUUAUCUUUGUAUGUUGGUGGUGGUUGAAUAGUGUGGCAUAAGAAACGUUUGCAAUUUACAAAUUAAACUUUGUGUACUUCUUUCUAUAGAUAAGUACUAUUAGGUAGAGUUUAUGUUUUAAUUUAUAAUAAUUUUUAGUUUUUAUUGUUUAGUGUUUUAGUAGUGUAUUAGGAUAUUAGUUGAUGUUGAAACAUAUUUCUUUUUAUUAAUCUAAU
Papaver somniferum (opium poppy) is the source of this 2778-nucleotide long non-coding RNA. RefSeq lists it as uncharacterized. The record is from RefSeq and is a predicted model, not a curated record. NCBI's taxonomy places the organism in Eukaryota, Viridiplantae, Streptophyta, Magnoliopsida, Ranunculales, Papaveraceae. The transcript has 4 exons.